Long non-coding RNA from Daphnia pulex (common water flea), 834 nucleotides. RefSeq lists it as uncharacterized. The transcript has 2 exons. Lineage: Eukaryota; Metazoa; Arthropoda; Branchiopoda; Diplostraca; Daphniidae. The record is from RefSeq and is a predicted model, not a curated record.
GAAAAAUAAAAUUGGAUGUCAGUCAGACUUGGUUCUUAGCGCUGUUAUUCCGUCUUCCAUUUCUGUCUCGAUUAAUUCCAGUUCUCUUUGUGAUUGAAAUUAUCACGAUGGGCUCGUCGAUGAAGUUAUUCACUUUUACGUUUGUAUUGCUAGCCUUAAUCGAGCUAGGCUUCGGAGGUAUUUGUCGUAAUCCAGGGUCUUAUCAAGGUUAUGACGUAUCCGAUCAAUUUGGUGGAAACCGAGGUGAAUGCGUAUCCUUUUAUAAGACGUGUUCGGGAGAUCAUCGUCACACUUCGUCGUGGAGAAGAGGAGUACAAGUGAAAAAUAAUAGAAAUAUACCAUACGGUACGGGAAUAGCAUCUUUCACAAAUGGAAAUCGUUACGUCGGGAGUAAUUGUAACAGACCGCGUCCUUGUGGUCACGUUGCGAUUUAUGUUGGUCAGAAUUCACAGGGGAUCCAAGUCUGGGAUCAAUGGUCUGGAAAAAGUGUUAGCCAACGUACACUUAAGUUUGGUGGAAAGGGCUCAAGUAACGAUGGAAAUCAAUUCUAUGUCAUCAACUAAACUGGUUUCCAUUAAGAUGUCUAAACCCAAGCCGACGAAAAUGUUGUAGACCAUUUAUCUUGUAGUCGUUUUACAAUAAGCUGAACUCGGGAAUCCAAAGGAUAGUGCAUUAGUGCAAUGACUGUCAUCUUACCUGCUUAUGUAUAGUGUUAAAGAAUAUAAUACAUAUGAUAGAGCAUUGAAUAAUGAGGUAAAUUUUCAACUAAACUUUUGAAAUUGUAUUCGAGUUGCCAUGUCCGUUUGACGCGCAAUAUAUACUACCUUCGUCAAA